AGGGCGCACGGCGGAUGCCUUGGCACAGGAAGUCGACGAAGGACGCGGCAAGCUGCGAUAAGCUGCGGGGAGGGGCAAACACCCUUUGAUCCGCAGGUCUCCGAAUGGGGGAACCCAGCAGGGGUCAUGCCCUGCUAUCCCCGCCUGAAUCAAAUAGGGCGGGCGAAGGCAACCGGGGGAACUGAAACAUCUAAGUACCCCGAGGAAGAGAAAUCAACCGAGAUUGCGCGAGUAGCGGCGAGCGAAAGCGCACCAGCCCAAACCCGGGCGCGUGUAAGCGGCAGGCGUUGCCGCCCGGGGGUUGCGGGACACCCGUCCAGGUGCUGCCCACCUGGGAGUGGUCACAAAUCCGUCAGGUAGCGGAACGGCAUGGAAGGGCCGGCCGCAGCGGGUGAGAGCCCCGUACGCGAAACCUGACGGACCACUGCGGUGCAUCCCGAGUAGGGCCGGGCACGUGAAACCCGGUCCGAAGCCGGGGGGACCACCCUCCAAGGCUGAACACUCUCCUGUGACCGAUAGCGAACCAGUACCGUGAGGGAAAGGUGAAAAGCACCCCGAGAGGGGAGUGAAACAGUACCUGAAACCGUGCGCCCACAAGCAGUCGGAGCAACCUUGCGUUGUGACGGCGUGCCUUUUGUAGAAUGAGCCAGCGAGUUGCGGUGUGCGGCGAGGUUAAGUUUGGAAACGAGCCGCAGCGAAAGCGAGCCUUUAAGAUGGCGAGUGAGUCGCACGCUGCAGACGCGAAGCCGGGUGAGCUAUCCUGGGGCAGGCUGAAGCGGGGGUAAGACCCCGUGGAGGGCCGAACCCACUUCGGUUGAAAACGGAGGGGAUGACCCCAGGAUAGGGGUGAAAGGCCAAUCAAACCCGGAGAUAUCUCGUUCUCCCCGAAAUAGCUUUAGGGCUAGCCUCGGCCGUUAACCCGCGGUGGUAGAGCCACCGGAUCGACGAGGGGGCUUCACCGCCUACCGACUCGAACCGAACUCCGAAUGCCGCGGGUCGAGAGGCCGGGAGUCAGAGGGCGUGGGCUAAGCUGCGCGCUCGAGAGGGAAACAGCCCAGACCGCCCGCUAAGGUCCCCAAGUCAUCGCUGAGUGGCAAAGGAUGUGCGUCUGCCCAGACAACCAGGAUGUUGGCUUAGAAGCAGCCAUGCAUUUAAAGAGUGCGUAACAGCUCACUGGUCGAGUGGACAUGCGCCGACAAUUCACGGGGCUAAGCGAUGCACCGAAGCGGCGGACUGAUCUUUCAGUGGUAGGGGAGCUUUCCGCGACCGGCGAAGCCGCAGGGCGACCUGCGGUGGAGGGCGCGGAAGUGAGAAUGCUGGCAUGAGUAACGAGACCAGGGCGAGAAACCCUGGCGCCGUGAGCCUAAGGGUUCCUGGGCGAGGCUAAUCCCCCCAGGGUCAGUCGGGAGCUAAGGCGAGGCCGCGAGGCGUAGCCGAUGCGCAGCGGGCAGACAUUCCCGCACCGCCGACGGCGCGGCAUUACCGAUGGGGCGACGGAGAAGGGUAGCCGGGCGGGGUUCUGGACGUCCCCGUGAAAGCGCGUAGGGCGCAGGGCAUGGAAAUCAGCCCUGCACGAGGCCUGAGACGCGAGACGAAGCGACCGAGCGAAGCCGGUGAGCCCAUGCUUCCGAGAAAAACCUCUAGGGAGUGCCGUCGGCGCCCGUACCAAAACCGACACAGGUGGGCGGGUAGAACAUACCGAGGCGAUCGGGAGAACCACGGUUAAGGAACUCGGCAUACUGGCCCCGUAACUUCGGGAGAAGGGGCGCCCCCGCCGGUGAAGGCACUUGCUGCCGGAGCUAGUGGGGGCCGCAGCGAAACGGCCCAAGCGACUGUUUAUCAAAAACACAGGACUCUGCAAAGCCGCAAGGCGACGUAUAGGGUCUGACGCCUGCCCGGUGCCGGAAGGUUACGCGGAUGCGUCAGCCGAAAGGCGAAGCGCUGAAGCCAAGCCCCGGUAAACGGCGGCCGUAACUAUAACGGUCCUAAGGUAGCGAAAUUCCUUGUCGGGUAAGUUCCGACCUGCACGAAUGGCGUAACGAUCUCCACACUGUCUCGGCCAGAGACUCGGUGAAAUUGAAGUCGCGGUGAAAAUGCCGUGUACCCGCAGAAAGACGGAAAGACCCUGUGCACCUUUACUAUAGCUUGACAUUGGGAUUUGAGCCUGCAUGUGUAGCAUAGGUGGGAGGCUGUGAACUCUGUACGCCAGUAUGGAGGGAGCCAUCGUUGAAAUACCACCCUUGUUUGUUCAGGUCCCUAACUCUUCGCCGUGAUCCGGUAAGAGGACAGUGUCUGGUGGGUAGUUUGACUGGGGCGGUCGCCUCCCAAAAUGUAACGGAGGCAUGCAAAGGUUCCCUCAGGCUGAUUGGAAACCAGCCGUCGAGUGCAAACGCAAAAGGGAGCUUGACUGCAAGAGAGACAUCUCGAGCAGGUACGAAAGUAGGUGUUAGUGAUCCGGUGAUCCCGAAUGGAAGGGUCAUCGCUCAUUGGAUAAAAGGUACGCCGGGGAUAACAGGCUGAUCGCAUCCAAGAGUUCACAUCGACGAUGCGGUUUGGCACCUCGAUGUCGGCUCAUCACAUCCUGGGGCUGAAGCAGGUCCCAAGGGUACGGCUGUUCGCCGUUUAAAGUGGUACGCGAGCUGGGUUUAAAACGUCGUGAGACAGUUUGGUCCCUAUCUUCUGUGGGCGUAGGAGAAUUGAAAGGGCCUGUCCCUAGUACGAGAGGACCGGGAUGGACACACCACUGGUGGACCUGUUGUCGUGCCAACGGCACAGCAGGGUAGCUAUGUGUGGAAGGGAUAACCGCUGAAAGCAUCUAAGCGGGAAGCCUGCCUUAAGAUAAGUUCU
This 2847-nucleotide ribosomal RNA is filed under the name human gut metagenome. RNAcentral describes it as "bacterial LSU rRNA". It matches the Rfam family "Bacterial large subunit ribosomal RNA". The record is from RNAcentral.